RNAcentral lists this ribosomal RNA (361 nucleotides) under Salmonella enterica. RNAcentral's name for it is "partial 23S ribosomal RNA". The record is from RNAcentral. Lineage: Bacteria; Pseudomonadati; Pseudomonadota; Gammaproteobacteria; Enterobacterales; Enterobacteriaceae.
GGUAUGGCUGUUCGCCAUUUAAAGUGGUACGCGAGCUGGGUUUAGAACGUCGUGAGACAGUUCGGUCCCUAUCUGCCGUGGGCGCUGGAGAACUGAGGGGGGCUGCUCCUAGUACGAGAGGACCGGAGUGGACGCAUCACUGGUGUUCGGGUUGUCAUGCCAAUGGCACUGCCCGGUAGCUAAAUGCGGAAGAGAUAAGUGCUGAAAGCAUCUAAGCACGAAACUUGCCCCGAGAUGAGUUCUCCCUGASMCUUWRAGKSUCCUGAAGGAACGUUGAAGACGACGACGUUGAUAGGCCGGGUGUGUAAGCGCAGCGAUGCGUUGAGCUAACCRGUACUAAUGAACCGUGAGGCUUAACCUU